AGGAGGCCUGGGGAACAAUGAGUAAGGCAGAGAGGGAACAGAGGCUUAUAGGCCACUGUGCGGACUUUGGCGUUUAAUCUGAGCUGGGGACCCACUGGAGGAUUCUGAGCAGAGCACUGACAUGAUUGCGCUUACAUUUUUAAGACACUCUGGCUGCUGUGUUGAAAACAGAUGACCAUGGGGCAUAGACAGAAGCAGAAAGGUUGGCUGGAGGAAACGGAGAGAAAAUUUACAUCUGGUGGAGCAUAAAGAAACCAGCUAGAGGACUGGCCUUGUCAUUAUCUAACUGUGUUGUGACGAACUGGCACUUCCUCAUCUCUAAAAGCAGGGCCCUGAACUAGAAGACCGCCACGUCACAUGAUGAAAAACACUCAAACUAACACUUCUUACCCUUGUGAGCAGCCCUACUAGCAGAUUUAAUGUGGGAGGAGGUUCACACUACGGGAUAAAAAUCAAGUUUUAGGAUUCCAUUUUAUCUAAGCUGACCACCACAAGGCAGAGGAUCAAGACUUAGCUAAAUACAGCCCUCAGGCAAGCUUCACUUCCCCAUCUGUGAAGGGAGAAUAAAUAUAGCAUACACAUGUUAAGAUAAAUGAGAGAGCUGGUCAAGUGUUUCGAGCUCUUCGGCAGACAAGCCUGACUUUCCAAAAAAAGACAAACCACAACUUCGGAGCCAGUGCUAUUUCUUCUGUGCAUGGUGAGGUGACUUCCCCAGUUGUAAAGGAUUUAGAGCUGAAAUUCCAUAUUGUCUGGAGCUAUAAUUACAAGUCUCUUGCACUAAAACAGAGGUCAGCUGGCCUAAAGCAUGCUGAAAGAAGGUAAAUGUCUGGUCACAUUUCCAUGUGGUAUACUCCUUUCCUAACUUUUUGGCACAAAUUUCAUGUUGAUAGAAUAUUCAUUCAUUCACUCCACAAAUAUCUGGCAAGUAGGUGCUGAGUGCUGUGUAUAGACGAGUGAACACAACACAGACCCUGCCCUCAUUCUGUGUAGAGUACAGCAGAGGAGUAGGCACAGGGUUCUCAGCUAGGGCAGUACCACCCUAUGUCUGGGGGGCAUUUCGGACAUUUGGGAGGUGCUGUCAAUUGUCAAAAUGAAUGGGGAAACUCUGCUAGCAUUUAAGGGUGGGAGCCGUGGUGCCACAAUGACCUGUAUGAGGAAAACCAGCUCCAGGCCCACAUGACUAGUGAGUGUACUGCUAGACAUUCAUAAACAUGAAAAACUCUUUUGUGGGAAAACAGCCUGUUGCAUAGCAAGAGUGAUCCAUCUGGAAGUAAAACUGCCAUGAUGACCAAUGUUUGACGCCUACAAUUCAAGGUGUUCCAGUAGCACAGAUAAGCCCUCACAACCUCCCCGUGGUCAUGAGUUUCUAAAGGAAGUCAGGGAUGAUGAGCUUCCUGUGUCUUUACCCUAAAAGCUUGCUAUAUAAAGGAUACUUUCUGGAGGUUGGUUGUGAGAAUCCACCAUCUCUUGGCCUACCUAGAUAUCAUUUCUGUUUCUAAGUCUCUAUUAAAUAUUUCUUUCUGAGAAA
RNAcentral lists this non-coding RNA (1528 nucleotides) under Pan troglodytes (chimpanzee). The record is from RNAcentral. Lineage: Eukaryota; Metazoa; Chordata; Mammalia; Primates; Hominidae.